Molecule: unclassified non-coding RNA, 613 nt
Filed under: Hevea brasiliensis (rubber tree)
Lineage: Eukaryota; Viridiplantae; Streptophyta; Magnoliopsida; Malpighiales; Euphorbiaceae
Source: RNAcentral
UGUAACUGCAGCUUGUGCCGGCAAGCAAAAGGUUGGGCUCCUACUGGUGCUCUCUAUAGGAAGAUUGCUAGACUGGGUUAUAAGUCAGUCGCACAUUAUCUAAUUCAAACCCAUCGAGCUACUGUCAGUACCGAGAAUAACUUGACACCAUUCUCUGCAAAAAGAUCACUACCUUUCUCAGAUAUGGAAGGUACAAGAAAAGAUGAGGGACUCUGUGAGGUGAAACCAGUGGCGUAUGUGGCGUAUGAUGCUAAUGAACCCAAUUUAGCUCCAGAAAGUAGUACAGAGCCUUUGCUGCUGAAACCUUAUCCUGAAAACAGUGGUACAGAUCUUGUUCUCUCAGGCGACAAUGUGGGAAACUUCUCAACAGACAACAAAUCAGGAAAUGCAAAUGCUGUGCUGGUGGUAGGUAGCUCAUUGACUUCUCAAACAGAGAUGAAACCAGUGGACUAUGAUGGCCAUGAGCCCAACUUAGCACCGGAAAGUAGCACAGUGCCCUUGCUGAAGUCCAUCGUUGAACCCUUGUUGCUACUGAAACAUGACUCCGAAAACAGUGCAGGAAAUAUCUCAGUAGCCAACAAAUCAGGAAAUGAAAAUGUCGUGCUGGUGGGCA